AUUUAAGGUGUUUUUUUUUUUUUAAAUCUCAUUAUGAUGUAAAUUUGAGCACGGCACAGUGUACUUUUAAUAAGCAAGAAAUAAUUUAAAGAAAAGACAUUUAAAAAUGAACAUUUAGAUAACAAUUUCAAUGUAUUGUUCAUACUAUUAAAUAUGUCUUAUGAGAAUAGUUAUAAGUCAGCUACGGGUGCUACCAAGCUGUCUUUACAUGAAACAUUGCUAUUGGUUAAGAGUAUCUGUUUAGACGAGUGUAUACUAUCAAUUAAGCUACUAAACAUCAAGUAAGUAAUUUGCAAGCCUAUUUGAGCAGACUAUUGAGAUGUUUCAUUGCCUCCCUUAGGUACACACACACAGACACGUUUGCUUAAAGUACAGAUUAAUUGGUCUUAAGAAUGCGUGAGUGUAUGUGUACUUCGAAAUGUAGUCAAUGUAAAUGCAUUAACGGGACCAUUUCAGUGGCUCAAGAAGAAGCAAUGAAGACCAUUUGGGAGAGGGGGGGUGAGGGAAUAAACUAAGCAUUGUGUAAGGAAAAUAAGUUUCUGUCGAAAAAUCUAGAUUACCCUCACAGUCACAUUCCAUUCUCA
This is a non-coding RNA of Biomphalaria pfeifferi, 584 nucleotides long. The record is from the annotation of a GenBank genome assembly. NCBI's taxonomy places the organism in Eukaryota, Metazoa, Mollusca, Gastropoda, Planorbidae.